UGCAGCUCACUUUUCCUUGUUCCAUACUUUGUGUCUGAGAUUACCAACAUUGACACAGUAAUUUAUAAUUUACAUCUUGUAGCAUGUGUUCACAAUUACUUUGUAUAAAAUGCCAAUUUAUUUAUGCAUUCUCCUGUUGAAGGACCCUGGAUUGUUUUUUAUUUUUAUUUUUUUGAUAUUAUAAACAACAUUGCAACAAACUUUUGUAUGCAUCUUUUCUUGUGCCAUUCACUUUUUUAUUUCUGAGUAUUACUCCUAAUAAUAUAACUAAAACCUUGACUAUCCUGGCUGUGGGAUAUAAUCAUCUUCCUUUUUUCUCAGUUUUGCCAAACUUCUCUCCAAAAUGCCAGUCAUAAUUCAGGUCCACACUCGCAGAGUAGGAAAGUCCCUGUUGCUCUAUAUUGUUGCCAACGUGUUCUCAGGUGUUGUUAUUCUAAAGCUAUGUACAGGUAUGUCUGGGGCACGAAGAAUGAAGUGAUUAUCUCUGCAGGUCCUCCUGUUUUCAAGGAGACUUUGAAUAAAGCAGAAAUAAUGAGCACCUGAACCAAGGCAUCAACACGGGGCUGGAGAGGACUAGAAGCACUAAUAAAGUCCAAUCCACAGCUGUUAUUAAAACUGUAAGCGGGAGGAUAGAGGUCCUAUUUCAUGACUGAGGAGCUUUGGUGGAUACUACAGCCACACAUUUGGAUGGAAGGUAGACGACCGGAUAAUUCUUGUGCUCUGAAUGGAAGCAGUUUAUUGAGCUUCCUCCCACCCCAGUACAAUAAAUGAAGAGACUCACAAGAUUAAGGAGUGAUAAGAGUACACCGCUUCAAAAAAAAACAAAUCCUGUGCAAGGGGAAUAGUGAGCAAAUGAGAAAUAAGUUACAUGCAUCUACCUCCAUGCCUCAGGCCUGAUAUAAAGAGCUCUGAAGAAACAAAAAAGACUCACGUUCAUUCCUUGCCUUUGACACUUUCCAACCAUGAAGUCUUAAGGUCUGAUCCUUUCAAAGGCGGGAGACAGGAAUUCUGUUUGCAUGUUACCAGAGAUGUCCAAAUGCCUGUCACUUUUUCCUUAAUGUGGUAUCAAAGCGUAUGGAACUGGGCAGAACUCCAAAAUAUUGUGGUCAUUUUUAUCAGCCUUUAAGCCGGACCAACUUUAUAAAAGUUAUACAGUAGAUUGAAACCGACAGCAGACAAUCAAAAUCAAGGUCAAAUGAAAGGCCUAGACAUCCAACCCACUGUCAAUCUAGAAGUUGUGUAGAGAAGGAAGAGCUGAGGACACAAUUUCACACGGAUCAAAGACCACGGGGCCAAGGGUGCUGCAGCUCAUGCCUGCUAUUCCAGCAACAUGGGAGUCUGAGGCAG
Molecule: long non-coding RNA, 1347 nt
Filed under: Homo sapiens (human)
Lineage: Eukaryota; Metazoa; Chordata; Mammalia; Primates; Hominidae
Description: HSALNT0132257
Source: RNAcentral